Sciurus carolinensis (gray squirrel) is the source of this 6630-nucleotide RNA transcript. It is a transcript of the gene named zinc finger protein 207, with no coding region annotated. The transcript has 14 exons. The record is from RefSeq and is a predicted model, not a curated record. Lineage: Eukaryota; Metazoa; Chordata; Mammalia; Rodentia; Sciuridae.
GCGGAGAGCGAACGAGGGCGUCGGCCAUUUUGUGUCUGUUUCCUGUGGGACGCGGUUGUGGCCGUUGGUUCGGAAAAGUGAGCGAUUUAUUUCCUCGUUUUUCCUGCUUCUUUUCUCCUCCCUUUAAUUUGUCGGUAGGACGCAGCUAUGGGUCGCAAGAAGAAGAAGCAGCUGAAGCCGUGGUGCUGGUAUUGUAAUAGAGAUUUUGAUGAUGAGAAGAUCCUUAUACAACACCAAAAGGCAAAGCAUUUUAAAUGCCAUAUAUGUCAUAAGAAACUAUACACAGGACCUGGCUUAGCUAUUCAUUGCAUGCAGGUGCAUAAAGAGACAAUAGAUGCUGUACCGAAUGCAAUACCUGGCAGAACAGACAUAGAAUUGGAAAUAUAUGGUAUGGAAGGUAUUCCAGAAAAAGACAUGGAUGAAAGACGGCGACUUCUUGAACAGAAAACUCAGGAGAGUCAAAAAAAGAAGCAACAAGAUGAUUCAGAUGAAUAUGAUGAUGAUGAUUCUGCAGCCUCAACUUCAUUUCAACCACAGCCUGUUCAACCUCAGCAAGGUUAUAUCCCCCCAAUGGCUCAGCCAGGACUGCCACCAGUUCCAGGAGCACCAGGAAUGCCUCCAGGCAUACCUCCUCUAAUGCCAGGUGUUCCUCCUCUGAUGCCAGGAAUGCCACCAGUUAUGCCAGGCAUGCCACCUGGAUUGCAUCAUCAGAGAAAAUACACCCAGUCAUUUUGCGGUGAAAACAUAAUGAUGCCAAUGGGUGGAAUGAUGCCACCUGGACCAGGAAUACCCCCUCUGAUGCCUGGUAUGCCACCAGGUAUGCCCCCCCCUGUUCCACGUCCUGGAAUUCCUCCAAUGACUCAAGCACAGGCUGUGUCAGCACCAGGUAUUCUUAAUAGACCACCUGCACCAACAGCAACAGUACCUGCUCCACAGCCUCCAGUUACUAAGCCUCUUUUCCCCAGUGCUGGACAGAUGGGGACACCUGUAACAAGCUCAAGUACAGCUUCAUCCAAUUCAGAAAGUCUGUCUGCAUCUUCUAAAGCUCUGUUUCCUAGCACAGCACAAGCUCAGGCAGCUGUGCAAGGACCUGUUGGUACAGAUUUCAAGCCCUUAAAUAAUACCCCUGCAACAACUACAGAACCCCCAAAGCCUACAUUCCCUGCUUAUACACAGUCUACAGCUUCAACCACUAGUACAACAAAUAGUACUGCAGCAAAACCAGCAGCUUCAAUAACAAGUAAGCCUGCUACACUUACAACCACCAGUGCAACCAGUAAGUUGAUCCAUCCAGAUGAGGAUAUAUCACUGGAAGAGAGAAGGGCACAAUUACCUAAAUAUCAGCGGAAUCUUCCUCGACCUGGACAGGCCCCCAUCGGUAAUCCACCAGUUGGACCAAUUGGAGGUAUGAUGCCACCACAGCCAGGCAUCCCACAGCAGCAAGGAAUGAGACCCCCAAUGCCACCUCAUGGUCAAUAUGGUGGUCAUCAUCAAGGCAUGCCAGGUUACCUUCCUGGUGCUAUGCCACCGUAUGGGCAGGGACCUCCAAUGGUACCCCCUUACCAAGGUGGGCCUCCUCGACCUCCAAUGGGAAUGAGACCUCCUGUAAUGUCGCAAGGUGGCCGUUACUGAUCUUGCUUCAUCCAGUUUAAUAGGUUUUUAGAAGUGAAGUAUAGUAAAUUUGGUUCGUUAAAUUGUGAAGGCGCUGGAAUUACAUGAACAUACCACCUUAAUAAAGCCCUGCCAUAGGACAGGCUGAGGCUGAGUCUCAGUGUUGCCCUGUUCAGUCUGAGGCAAGUGGGAUUUAUUUUAUUCCUUAUAGGGGCUUUCACAGCUUUAUGGCUGUUGGAUAUUUAUGUCCCCAAACUUGCAGCAAGUUUGGUGAAGGCCCCUAAAUUUAAUUAAACUUAGGAUUUUUAUAUUCUUUGGGCAGAGAAGGCUCUAUAUUAAUAUUCACGUUUGACUGUGGUGUUAAUAAACAGAUGCAAAGUACUUUAUAUUACGUAAUUAAUGGCUUCAGUAAAGCUUUCAUUAUUGUAUUGAACCUGAGUAAAUUGACAAUUUGACAUUCUUAAUUUGGAGGCAUGAAAUGUUUCAUUCAAAAUUUUCACUUUCAUUUCUAGGAAAAUCUUACUGGUUAUUUUCUCUGCAAACUAUUAAAUUUAACCUCAAGGAUAAGUUAAUUAUUGGAAAUGCCACAGGGUACUGAAAUCUGUAUAAUCCCAAGCUUAUACUUUGAACAUCAAGGUUGAAAGGUCAUCUGGAAAUGCUUGUGAUUUUUAAUAUUUUAAAACCUCACCACAUUAGAGCAAAUGUUAAUGUAGAGCCCUGUGAAGAGUGGGAAGGUGGUAUGUCUUUGUGUGCUUGUGUGGUGUGUAUGGGUGUAGACUACACGUGAUAUAAUUAAAGGGUUUGGGUAUUACAGACCUGUCAACCUGGAUAGAUGACUAAUUUUUAGGAAACCAAACUAAAAUUGGAUCAUGUGGCAAAGUUAAAAAUAUAUUAAACUGGUUUUGGAACGAUUAUUUCAAAGUUUAUGCUCUUACUGAACAGUGUUUUAUGCAAUAUGCACAAAUGAAUAGUAUCCUUGUUUGUUUCCAAGCAAGAUUUGCUUUUAUUUGGUGAGAAAAGUUGUAUGUCUGUGUGUUUUUUAAAGGGGAUAAAGAGGGAAUUGGAAGAGGGGCCGAAACAAACCUGGGUUGUUUGUUCCUUCUUGUGGGUUAAGACAUCAUCCUAUCCAGAUAGCAUUUUCCUCUGAGCAAGAGCAAUUAACAUACAGUAUAAUGUUUAGCAAACUUCAUAUUGUAUUUUCAUUCUUGGAAGUGUAAAAUUCAUUAAAAGAAUUCCAAAUUUUGACCCAUUUAUUAGAAUACAUGCUUUUCGUUGUAACUGAAUUAUGGGAAAGGUUUUUAAUAGUAAAGAGUAUUGUUGCUUCAAUGACAGAAUAGUUCUCUGGAAUAUUUUAUAACAAUAAUUACAUGUUUUAAGACUAAUUGGAGAUCUGUUUUAUAUUGCACCCACCAUUCUCCAAUAUACUGGAAUCUCUUGAAGUUGUUUGAUCUAAUUUUAAUAAUAAUUGAAAUAAAUAAAAGUGGAAUAGGUUUGAGUAAUGGGAGGGGCUUUACUAAUGGUGCCAUAAAUUGAUAAUAUCUAAUUUAAAAUAUAUCCUUUGAAAUAUUUGUAGAUUGUGACUCAGACACAGUUUUGAGAAUUACAUAAUUCAGGUGUCCAUAAUGACCACUGGUAAAACUUGGUGAAUGAAAGGAAACUGAAGUCACUUCACUGAGUUAGCUGAUAAAAGUAGGCACAGAAGACAUUUGUGUUGCUGGGCACUUCUGUAAUUCCAGCAACUUGGAAGGCUGAGGCAGGAGGAUUUACAAAUUUGAGGUCAGUUUAAGCAACUUAGUGAGACCCUAAACAACUUAGUGAGACCUGUAUCAAAAUAAAUAUAAAGGGUUGUGGGUUGCAGCUCAGUGGUAAAGUGCCCCUGAGUUCAGUACCCACUACUACAUCAAAAUACUUGUAUUGUUUAGGGGAUAAAGAAACAUUAAAUAUUUACCCUAAAAUAUUUUUAUAAAUUAAAUGUCUUUUUUUAAAAGGUGACGUUACCUACGUAGUAUUGAAAUCUUUGUACAUUCUUCCAAAAAUGAAACUCGUUUUAUUGUAACUUUUAUGGAAAGUUUUCCAAAAGGAGACUGGCCUAUAGGGCAGGUUUUUGUAAGUAAACGUUCUGCUAACUACCCUUAUUUCUUAGUGUUUACUUUUGUUUUCUGUCUUUCAAGCCAUUUUUAUUACUUUUGUUUUUUAUAGUGAAGAAAUCAUCUGACUUUUCUGUGUCCUUAGCAAAAUAAGCACCUUAACAAUAUUGUACAUGUGGAGUCAUGCAUAUAGUGGGCAUUCAUGAUUUUGUAAUUGCUGCAUUUUCAAGACUACAAAAUUUUGAGCUCCUCUUGUGAAUUUAAUUCAAGUGAAUGUGUGAGAAGUGGGGAAAAUAGGACUUCAGUUUGAACUCCCUAAAAUUGAAUACAUCCAACUUUUACAAAUUUUUUUUAAUAAGUUUAAUUAUUUUUUCUGACAUUUUUAAAGUGAUACAUGAUAUAUAUGGGGUACAGUUUUCCAAGUGUUUAAACCUUUAAAUUUCCAACCUCUUAAACAUUCUUACAUGGCAUUUUUGUUAGGAUAUAGAUUGAAGUAUUUUUAAGAGAAUGUUUUCAAUAAGACUUAGAAGGGAAUUGCUUUUAACAAGCACUCUUUCUUGGUCUGUGCUGGGUACAUUCUUGUGUAAUGUUUUGGGCUUCAAAGGAAGAGCCUUUCAUUUUCUUCUCAACUCUGGACAGUAGUUCAAAACUAAAUUGGUUGAAGCCAGGUGCAGUGGUGCCUGCGUGUAAUCCCAGUGGCUUCGGACACUGAGGCAAGGAGAAUCACCAGUUCAGAACUAUCCUCAGCAACUUAGCAAAGCUCUAAGCAACUCAGCGAGAUCCUGUCUCUACAUUAGAAGAAAGGACUUGGGUUGUGGCUCAGUGGUUAAGCACCCUAGGUUUAAUCCCCGGUAAAUCCCCCUCCCCUGAAAGUAGUUUGAGUGUUUCCAUCUAUUUCUCUUUAAAUAUUCUCAAUUUAUCUCAUGUAUUUUGCUAAGCAGGAUGUAGAUGUAAUUAAGGUAUAAUUUUACAGCCUAAAAAGAUCUUCGUUGAAGCUAUAUUGGAAGCAAAUUGAACACUUAUAUAGUAAAUCAAGACUGACUCAUUAAAUGAAAACUUUCAGGAUUAGGUUCUUUAGGAAGCAAAUGAAAAUUUUUUGUGUGUAUGCUUUAAACUAACUACAGAGGAGACACAUGUGAGUACACUGUCUUAAUUGAGUACUUGGAAAUUCCCCCACCCCCAUCGUUUUAAAUGCUGCAAUGACAUAUAAGGUGUUAGGGCCCAGUUUUAGUAAUGUGCUGUGUGUGUUUGAGUAAUGCUGUGUUUGUAAAAGAUAAAGUUCUUACUGGCAUUUUAAGCCCACUGGCGUUGGUAUUUAGGUUGUGUUGUUCUGUAUAUAACUAUUAGCAUGUUAAAAGAAACUGUAUCGCUAUUUGCUAAAUUUGAGUAACUGGUUAUGAAUUUCAUUGAUGCCCAACUUUGAUAAAAAUAAACAAUGAAGGCGGGUGUGUAGUUAAUUGGUAGAGCUUGUGCUUUAUCAUGCAUGAUCCCUGGAUUCAAUUCCCAGAAAACAGAGAAUGACAAAUGUUUCCCCAGUUGACACAAACCCAAUAGUGAUUAUGGGGGAGGGGAGAGACCAUUGUGUAGUUUUUUUAGAUUCGAGAACCUUAAACAUAAUGAAAAGUAACAGAAUUCCUACUGUUUGAGUUUUGAGGUUUCACCAUAUUACCUACAUUUAUGUAAAUUAUUAUUAACGUUUAUUCAUAAAUACUUUAGUCUUAAUCAGAGAUCAGAAAAAGAUUUUCAGUAUCAUUUCCCAGGGUGCUUAACUACCCAGGUGGCCUGAGAAAAGAGUUAACAGUUCCUAUGAGUUCAAAUCAGAAACCUAGGACAUCUAUUGAUUGAUCCACAUCUUUUUAAAACCUAUUAACUUGUUAGUGUACUUUUAGGAGAAGUAAUGGAAUUUGUUUUUUUUUUUAAUCUCAUUUUUUAAAUACUUAAAAACCACUAAUAAAAUGAAUCCGUUUUCUUGAAAAUUAAAAGCUUUAAAAAGUUGUCUCUGAGGAUGUGUCUAUGUACUACUUCAAAAUUAGAAAUUUUAUGUUUAAAAUAUACUCACCCACUUUUUUGGGUAACCAAAAUUUCCGGCACAAUUCAUCUAUUAGAAUACAUAGUAUAUUAAAAUUGAGAUGUAUUCAAGAGAUAUUCAGUAUUAACAGCACAUUCUCAUAAGGUCACUCUAAAUUUGAUAGCCAAUGUAAUUUGUUAAAUUUUAGGGAAAAACUCUAAAUGUAUUACUAUCAGACUCUGAGGAAAUUAAAUGCACAUUGACUUUUUAAACUAUGGAUUGAACUCCUCAGUUUAAUACAAUUUGUGUUUUUGUUAACUAGCAGCAGAAUUUCAGCAUUUGCUACUUACUGGUAGAGAAGAAAAAUCCCACAGCCCUGCCAGUACAGGUUAGUUUAAUCUGUAAGUACCUGAUGUUCCUUUUUUUUCAAACAUAUCCAUAUAACCCACACAAAGAAGAAAGCUGUGCAGUUACUUACUGUGAGUAUAACUAAUAAGAGAAUCCAUUGGACACUUCAAACACUCAAUACUUGGUCCAAAGUAGUUCUAGGUUUGCUAACCUCAGAUGUAAUGAAGGUGUAAUAAUGUGCCUUUAUUGUCUGGUCUGGGUUGAUCCUGAGUAGAUAAGUUGCACGUAAAAGGAAAGGAGAGUGAAAGUUUCAAUUCUCUUUGCCUUUAUUGGUGUAUACUAUAGAAUCUCCAGGGUGCUUUGGGUCCAGGGUUUUUUGCUUAAGCUUCUACAUGGUGGUUCUCAUAUUUAGUUUUUAGGUUUUUUUUUAGUGUAUGAAUCAACCUAAGAAAAAGCAACAAGUUCCCUCAGUGAACUUGGUGAAAAAUGGUGUAUUAUCUUAAGCUAGAAGUGUUUUUUAUAUUGCUUUUUUAUCUUAAAUGUUUUUAGUAACAGUUUUAGAUAAGUGUUUUUUUU